Long non-coding RNA from Neodiprion virginianus, 709 nucleotides. RefSeq lists it as uncharacterized. The transcript is spliced from 3 exons. NCBI's taxonomy places the organism in Eukaryota, Metazoa, Arthropoda, Insecta, Hymenoptera, Diprionidae. The record is from RefSeq and is a predicted model, not a curated record.
UAAUAAAACCUAUAUUGGACAAUCAUCAUAAAAUUUGAAAAAAAGAAUAUCCAAACACAAAUCAAAUAUUAAAUGUCAUGACAGCGACACUUGUGCUUUAGCAGCUCAUGCUUUACAAUUAGGACAUUAUUUGGAUUUUGACAAGGCAACAUCUGAAUCAAAUUGGUAUAAACGGAAUAUCAAAGAGAUGAUCCAUAUUAGUAAAAACAACAAUACCGUUAAUGGAUGUACGGAUGUACAAAAUCUAAGUCACCUAUAUUUAGAUAUACUAUAGUUAAAAAAUUUCGCGCCAAACAACAGUUAUGGUAAUUCUCACUUUCGACAAUUGACUACAACAUCGAAUUAUUGAUUCUGGUAAUAGAUCGUAAUCAAUCCUCCUGUCACUUCCUUCCAUCAUGCCGUUUAAACAACAUCAAAGCGGAAAAGGUUGUCACUUAUUCAUAAUGUCCAACCCCCUCCAGUAAACAACGUUGCUCGCGUAUCAACAUACCAAAAUGCAGCUAGUGGACUUGCAACAAUUACAAAUAGUUAACAUGAUUGACAACCAACCGCCUGAUUUGCAAAAUAACACGGAACCAACCCAGAAAGAGGAGCAUCUGGAGGCAGAGGAGUAUGUACAGGAAGAUGACUACAUUGAAGAUGAUAACCAGGGUGGAGAAGGUGAAGGUGUAGUCGAGAAUGUUGAAGUAUAUAUUCACUCCCCUACUAU